UACAGAGGUCCCAAGCGUUGUUCGGAUUCACUGGGCGUAAAGGGUGCGUAGGCGGUUUGAUAAGUCAUCUGUGAAAUCUCUGGGCUCAACCCAGAGUCUGCAGGCGAAACUGUCGGGCUUGAGUAUGGGAGAGGUGAGUGGAAUUUCCGGUGUAGCGGUGAAAUGCGUAGAUAUCGGAAGGAACACCUGUGGCGAAAGCGGCUCACUGGACCAUUACUGACGCUGAUGCACGAAAGCUAGGGGAGCAAACAGG
RNAcentral lists this ribosomal RNA (253 nucleotides) under uncultured bacterium. RNAcentral describes it as "partial 16S ribosomal RNA". It matches the Rfam family "Bacterial small subunit ribosomal RNA", at positions 524 to 776 of the family's 1533-position model. The record is from RNAcentral.